AUGAAGCCAUGUGCUAUCAAAAGAUGCUCUUUUGGAAAAAUUUCCCAGCAGUUGGGUGGCUUAAAGAAACCCCCAUGGUCAUGUGACUCCAGAUACUUCUGGGGCUGGUUGAAUAAAGUGGAUGUCAACCCUGACUGGUGGCAUCCAAGUGGCUUUGCUGUGGGGCUGUGGUGUGCUACCAGGGCCAGGAGAGUUGGCAGAAGGACAUAACCUCUCAUCAGGCCCUCUAGACAAACAGAAUUCAGGCAGUUGAUGCCACUGCUCUUAAAUCAUGAGCAUUGGAUUUGAUCACAUGGAGGGCUAACAGCAUGCUGGAAAAACAAGGUCAUGCAAGUGUCAUAUAUUGAGCCUGACUGUUCGGAGAGACUUUGUAAAGUUAAAAAUUUACAUAAAAGCAUGUUGGAAAUAAUUUCAUGUGGAUAUAUCACAGACAGAGGCAUCGUUGCUCUGCAUCACUUAAGAAACCUCAAGUGUUUGCUAUAAAGUGAUCUUCCUGGACUAAGAGAAAAAGAAAACCUUGUCCAAGCCUUUGAGAUAGGACCACCUUCUCUAGAACUAAAAUUAGACUUGAAGUAAAAUAAUAAUAUUCAGUAAGUGUCUUAUUUCAAAUGGAAGCAUCUAUAGGUGAAUGGAUAAAGAAGAUGUGAUACUCACCAUAAAAAGAGUGAGAUCUUGCUGUUUGCAACAACAUGGAUGGGCCUAGAGAGUAUUAUGCCCAGUGAAAUCAUUCAGACAGAGACAAAUACCAUAUGGUUUCUCUUAUAUGUGGAAUCUAAAAAAACAAUAAACAACAACACAAAAACUCAGUACAGAGAACAAACUGGUGGUGGCCAGAGGGGUGGGGGUGGGAAAUGGGAGAAAUAGGUGAAGGGGAUUAGGAGGAACAAACUUCUGGUUAUAAAGUAAGUAAAUAGUGGAUAUGGGGGGAAAAGUGUCCUAUUUCAAUAUAAAGUAUCAUUUGAAAUUUUUUUUUUUUUAAGAUUUUAUUUAUUUAUUUGACAGAGAGAGAGAGAGCAGGAACACAAGCAAGGGGAGUGGGAGAGGGAGGAGCAGACUUCCCAUGGAGCAGGGAGCCCGAUGUGGGGCUCGAUCCCAGGACCCUGCGACCAUGACCUGAGCCGAAGGCAGAUGCUUAACGACUGAGCCACCCAGCCGCCCCUCGUUUGAAAUUAUUUAGAUAUAUUUAUCAUCAAUAGAACUAAAAGGUGGUCAUACCGCAACAUUUUAAAAGCAGAGUCCCUCAUGUAGAAAGUAAAUAUUCAGACAUGACAUUCUGAAAUUAGAGUUGGAAGUGAGAAUUUAUGUACAUUUUAAGAAAAAUGCAAACCCAGAUAACCUUUUAAUUCUAAUAUAUUCCUCAUUUUAUAUAGAUAUGUCUUGAUGUAGAUAGAGUUCUUCAAAGUGAUUUAAAUGUAUAACACAGAUGUUCUUUUUUUUAAGAUUUUAUUUGAGAGAGAGAACACAAGCUGAGGUGGGGUGGCAGAGAGGAGGAGAGGGAGAAGCAGACUUCCCACUGAGCAGGGAGCCUGGCUCUGGGCUCAAUCCCAGGAUCCCGGAGUCAUGACCUGAGCUGAAGGCAGACAUUUAACCAACUGAGCCACCAGGCGCCCUACAUUUUACUUUAAAGUUAAUAAAGCAUGUUGCUAUAAAUGUACAUACAUGGGGGAAAAAAGGCUCACAAAAUCAAGCUUUGGCUGGAAUACAGGGAGUAGAAUAUUGUCAAGUUGAUGGUGGGAGUGUAUCAAUGCAGCCCUUUUCAGUAGAGACUACCAUUUUGCUCUUCAUUGUUGAGCAUGCACAAUUCUCUGCCUAGGACGAGAGCCUAGAGAAACUUAGCUCUGGGCAUAGGAAGAGAAGUGUAGGAAGAAUGCUCCUUGCUGCUGAGAUGACCAGGGAAUAGAGUGUGUAUAUUAAGGUAGUGGAAUGCUAUAUAGCCGUUAACCUUUGGAAAAGGAAAAAAAGCAAGUUGCAAAAAGAUGUACAGGAUCAUACUAUUACAUUGUAGACUGUUAACUCUUCAGGACCCAUUUACGUCUGGGGAGGAAGAAAAGGGAAUGCUGUGAGGAAGGGUUAACUCUGUUUCUUUAAAAAAACAAAACAAAAACUGACAUUACUGUGGCAGUGUUAAUAUUUGUCACAUUAGAGUAUGGGUAAAUAGAUAAUAUGGGUGUGCUAUAAAAUAUUAAAAAUUUUAAGAGAUCACACUCAUAGAACUUUACGUUUCUAGGUGUGAAGAUAAAUUAAUUUUUUAAAGUUGCAAAGAAUAACUGCGCAGUUUUUCAACUUCACUUCUUAAUGCCUUACUUUGCCUUCUCUGUUAUCUGAGUUCCAAGUACCCGUUUGGUUCCAACAAGAGUCAUAGAGUUUAGGGGCGCCUGGGUGGCUCAGCCGUUAAGCGUAUGCCUUCGGCUCAGGUCAUGAUCCCAGGGUGCUGGGAUCGGGCCCCACAUCGGGCUCCCUGCUCAGCAGGAAGCCUCCUUUUCCCUCUCCCACUCCCACUGCUUGUGUUCCCUCUCACGCUGUGUCUCUGUCUGUCAAAUAAAUAAAAUCUUUAAAAAAAAAAAAAAAAGAGUCAUGGAGUUCUCCUCUUGGGAUUCUGUCCUAAACAAGCAAUCGGAAAUAUGGAAGAGGCUCUGUAAGUUAACAUUCAUUCCUGAGGUCCUUAAAAUUGUGGAAAUUUGACAGUAAUAUGUUUUUAAAAAACAAGAGUGAAAUUGUUCGCUGAGUUUGUUGGGCAGCAGUAAAGGUGGGAGCUCCUGUCAGAGAGUACUGUGAUGUGUCACUUAGGCAGAGAGGAGUGAUGGGGAGGGCACGGCGUGAUGUGUGGUGUGAGAUUUCAGCUACGUAAAACCCCACAGCCUGGAUACCUAGAAUAAGAAAUGAGCUAAUGAAGAUGCUCUCUGUGUGGGAGGGUGCCAAGUGUUUCAGGGGGUUUUUUAGCUUUGGCUUUACUUACCCAAAUGUUUACGUAGUAACAGUGUUACUUCUCUAAUGGAAAAAAAAAAUUUUUUUUUUUAAUUUGUCCAAGCCUAGAUUUAAGUUCUGUUUUUUUCUUACUUUCUCUUUAUAGAAAUAGUUGUCUGUUUCUACUUUCCUUAUUGUAUGACCAGGCUCUUGGGUCCCCCUCCAUCGGUCAGUCUCCCUGUUACGAGAAAGGGUUCAUUUUUUCACUCAGAGACACAUACUCACUGUAGGACAUUGGGAAACCAGAAAAGCACAAAAGCAGACAUCACCCGCAGUCCCUCUACUGGGUAUCCACUGGCACCGGAGAUCGAAUUUUGUCUGCAUAUGUGUGCUUUGUUUGUUGUAGUGGGGGUUGCAUUUAGUUCCCCAUCCUGAUGAGAGGCGGGGAAAAUAAUUGCCUUUGAGUUUGUCUUCACCCUUAUAUCAAAGUCAUCGUCACUUCCUUCUGGUUCUAUUUGAGUGGCUGCUGCUUUUACCAGUGGCCUGAGCACGCCUAUGCCACACACAUACAUUCAUGACAGCCUCCUACCUCUACUCUACAGUCAGGCUGAGCUCAGCCCAUGGCUGCUAGGGCAUGUCCUAUUUUAGAAAGAUUCUUCCCAGAGUGAAGUGCAUAUAGAUAGUUUAUGUAGUGGUUGGGGUUUCCUGGGGAUGGAGUGGGCUGCCACGGUCAGGCUCCUUGCUCUCACAGUUGUGGCCAAGAGUCCUGUCAGCCAUGUUUUCAUGUACUGGUUAUGGAGGGUCAUGCGCAUUGGAAGAAAAGGCUGAGGCGGGUUUCUCAGACCUGUCCUCCUCAUAGGAGUAACACUUGGGCUCUUGGGGACUGUUCAUUGACAGAAAGCUGAAAUGUGCACUUUUGCUCAGCCCUGACAUUGGUAACCACAGUAGCCCCCUUCCAGCAUGCUGUUGGCCUGAGCUAUUCUUGGCCAGUCUGUGGGCCAGAGUUUAGAGUUGUGUAGUCAUAUUGCUUUACUGGACCUUCUCUAGGGGGUUCUAAUGCUGCUGUAUCCAGCCCUCCAGUCAGUAUCUAAGUUCUGGCUCCACUCCUGUUUGCUACACUGUCAUUUGAGCCGGUCCCCAAGAGUAAAUCAACUGUCUGGAUUUGCACAGGUUUUAGGACUCCUUUCAGAGAAUAUUUUGGGAGGUGUUAGGGGAUUUAGUAGAACAUCAUGAGCUUUGAUUACGUUGGUAGUAUUAAAGAAAUGUGAAUCCCAGAUUACUGCCCUGUCCUGUUAUUUCUCUUGUGCCUAUUUACUUAUUCUAAUCAAGCAUCAUAACCUCAUCUUAUAGGGUGCUCUUCCUACCUGAACUGGGAGCUCAAUCUUUGUAUGGCCUAGGGAUACUUGACGGGUUCCCCAAGUGUUCUGCAUCACUUGGAGGGAGGCAGGACUGACCGCCUGAGAAAGCCUUCACAAAGGAGCUCAACCAUCCUUCUGCAGAAUUUGGUUCUGGAGAUAAAACUAGUGGCCCAAGCCACACUCCCAUUUUGGUUCAAACCCUGGGCCUUUGGGGUAGUUGGCUGGUGAUUUGGACAUAAAAUUGCCAUUUAUUUGGGUUAUAAAGGAUGGUCCAAGUUCUUAUGUUGUUCUGAAGUUAAGUGGGUUCCCUGCAAACCAGUGAAUCCAACAGUUAAAGACCCAUGUCAGCUAGAAGUAAUGGUAUGCUGCUUCUGACCCCCACUUUCUUAAACCAGAUGACUUGCUGGGGGUUGUGGAACCAUUCCUCAGAACACUCACCAUCUCUCAGGCCGACCAGGGUGGCCUUGUUAGGGAUCUAGGGCAGUAAGGAAAUCCAUCCUUGCUCUCGAACCUAGCAUGGCAAUGAACGAUAUGAAGUUCUUUGAGCUAGUCAGUAGUACCUGGUGUUCUUUUGAUUAAAAGCUGGCUUUCCCCUCUAUUCUAAAGUAUGUCCUUGCUGUCUUUCCCUUCAUCUCUCUCAGGGGUUUUUGUUUGCCUUUUUUUUUUUUUUAAUUGAGUCAUAAUAUAAAUAAAACAUUCUGAUUUUUUUAGGUAAACUUUAUAUACAGUACAAUAUGUAGAUUUAAAUGUACAAUUCAGUGUGUAAUUACGUCCCUGUAUUUCCAUCACCCCCAGAAAGUUCCCAGGGUACAUAAAUGUUAAGUUUAUAUCAUGAAUUUUACAUAAAUAUCUAUUCAUGGAACCACCGCCCAGAUCAAGAUGAAAACAUUUUCUAGCAGAGUUCAGACUCGUUGUCUGCCCUCUGCAGAACAUGCAAUCACAUAUACUCUCUGUCAGGGCUGUGUGGGAUACUCUGGUGCUGCACUCGCUUCCUGAAUUCUGAAAUCUGAAGUCGCUUGUCUCUCGGUGGCUCCAUAAUGCAGCUCGUUUCCUCUGGCAUCCCCCACUCCUAGUGCUGUGCCCCCCAAGGAAUAAUGUUUUCUCU
RNA transcript from Mirounga angustirostris (Northern elephant seal), 5367 nucleotides. It is a transcript of the gene named ATP synthase subunit s, mitochondrial-like, with no coding region annotated. The record is from RefSeq and is a predicted model, not a curated record. Lineage: Eukaryota; Metazoa; Chordata; Mammalia; Carnivora; Phocidae. The transcript is spliced from 2 exons.